AUUGAACGCUGGCGGCAGGCCUAACACAUGCAAGUCGAGCGGGGUUUUCAGACCUAGCGGCGGACGGGUGAGUAAUGCGUAGGAAGCUGCCCGAUAGAGGGGGAUACCAGUUGGAAACGACUGUUAAUACCGCAUAAUGUCUACGGACCAAAGUGUGGGACCUUCGGGCCACAUGCUAUCGGAUGCGCCUACGUGGGAUUAGCUAGUUGGUGAGGUAAUGGCUCACCAAGGCGACGAUCUCUAGCUGGUUUGAGAGGAUGAUCAGCCACACUGGAACUGAGACACGGUCCAGACGCCUACGGGAGGCAGCAGUGGGGAAUAUUGGACAAUGGGCGCAAGCCUGAUCCAGCCAUGCCGCGUGUGUGAAGAAGGCCUUCGGGUUGUAAAGCACUUUCAGCGAGGAGGAAGGGUGGUGUGUUAAUAGCACAUCAUUUUGACGUUACUCGCAGGAGAAGCACCGGCUAACUCUGUGCCAGCCGCCGCCGUAA
RNAcentral lists this ribosomal RNA (488 nucleotides) under uncultured bacterium. RNAcentral describes it as "partial 16S ribosomal RNA". It matches the Rfam family "Bacterial small subunit ribosomal RNA", at positions 30 to 523 of the family's 1533-position model. The record is from RNAcentral.